UACGGAGGGUGCAAGCGUUAAUCGGAAUUACUGGGCGUAAAGCGUGCGUAGGCGGUUAUUUAAGUCAGAUGUGAAAGCCCCGGGCUUAACCUGGGAACUGCAUUUGAUACUGGGUAACUAGAGUUUAAUAGAGGAGAGUGGAAUUUCAGGUGUAGCGGUGAAAUGCGUAGAGAUCUGAAGGAACACCAGUGGCGAAGGCGACUCUCUGGAUUAAAACUGACGCUGAGGUACGAAAGCGUGGGUAGCAAACAGG
RNAcentral lists this ribosomal RNA (253 nucleotides) under uncultured bacterium. RNAcentral's name for it is "partial 16S ribosomal RNA". It matches the Rfam family "Bacterial small subunit ribosomal RNA", at positions 524 to 776 of the family's 1533-position model. The record is from RNAcentral. RNAcentral also lists the same sequence under 1 other name.